GAUGAAGAACGUAGCGAAAUGCGAUAAGUAAUGUGAAUUGCAGAAUUCAGUGAAUCAUCGAAUCUUUGAACGCACAUUGCGCCCGCCAGUAUUCUGGCGGGCAUGCCUGUUCGAGCGUCAUUUCAACCAUCAAGCCCCCGGCUUGUGUUGGGGACCUGCGGCUGCCGCAGGCCCUGAAAAGCAGUGGCGGCCUCGCUGUCACACCGAGCGUAGUAGCAUACAUCUCGCUCUGGGCGUGCUGCGGGUUCCGGCCGUUAAACCACCUUCAUAACCCAAGGUUGACCUCGGAUCAGGUAGGAAGACCCGCUGAACUUAAGCAUAUCAAUAAGCGGAGGA
This 336-nucleotide unclassified non-coding RNA is filed under the name soil metagenome. RNAcentral describes it as "partial contains 5.8S ribosomal RNA, internal transcribed spacer 2, and large subunit ribosomal RNA". The stretch from base 1 to 120 matches the Rfam family "5.8S ribosomal RNA", at positions 35 to 154 of the family's 154-position model. The record is from RNAcentral.